This 1390-nucleotide ribosomal RNA is filed under the name metagenome. RNAcentral describes it as "bacterial LSU rRNA". It matches the Rfam family "Bacterial large subunit ribosomal RNA", at positions 1550 to 2925 of the family's 2925-position model. The record is from RNAcentral.
UAUAUCCUGAGAGGUGAUGCGUAGCCGUAGCGGCGAAAUCCAUGAUCCUAUGCUGCCGAGAAAAGCCUCUAGCGAGCUGGUACAUGGCCCGUACCCCAAACCGACACAGGUGGUCAGGUAGAGAAUACUAAGGCGAUCGAGAGAACUGUGGUUAAGGAACUCGGCAAAAUGCCCCCGUAACUUCGGGAGAAGGGGGACCAGUCCUGGUGACGACAUUUACUGUCUGAGCUGGGGUUGGUCGCAGAGACCAGAGAGAAGCGACUGUUUACUAAAAACACAGGUCCGUGCGAAGUCGUAAGACGAUGUAUACGGACUGACGCCUGCCCGGUGCUGGAAGGUUAAGAGGACCGGUCAGCCACUUCGGUGGCGAAGCUGAGAAUUUAAGCCCCAGUAGACGGCGGUGGUAACUAUAACCAUCCUAAGGUAGCGAAAUUCCUUGUCGGGUAAGUUCCGACCUGCACGAAUGGCGUAACGACUUCUCUGCUGUCUCAACCACAGACUCGGCGAAAUUGCAGUACGAGUAAAGAUGCUCGUUACGCGCGGCAGGACGAAAAGACCCCGGGACCUUCACUAUAGCUUGGUAUUGGUGUUCGGUUCGGUUUGUGUAGGAUAGGUGGGAGACUGUGAAACUCGCACGCCAGUGUGGGUGGAGUCAUUGUUGAAAUACCACUCUGACCGUAUUGGACAUCUAACCUCGGACCAUGAUCUGGUUCAGGGACAGUGCCUGGUGGGUAGUCUAACUGGGGCGGUUGCCUCCUAAAAAGUAACGGAGGCGCCCAAAGGUUCCCUCAGCCUGGUUGGCAAUCAGGUGUUGAGUGUAAGUGCACAAGGGAGCUUGACUGUGAGACGUACAUGUCGAGCAGGGACGAAAGUCGGGACUAGUGAUCCGGCACCGGCAAGUGGAAGCGGUGUCGCUCAACGGAUAAAAGGUACCCCGGGGAUAACAGGCUGAUCUUCCCCAAGAGUCCAUAUCGACGGGAUGGUUUGGCACCUCGAUGUCGGCUCGUCGCAUCCUGGGGCUGGAGUAGGUCCCAAGGGUUGGGCUGUUCGCCCAUUAAAGCGGCACGCGAGCUGGGUUUAGAACGUCGUGAGACAGUUCGGUCUCUAUCCGCCGCGCGCGUAAGAAACUUGAGGAAACCUGUCCCUAGUACGAGAGGACCGGGACGGACGAACCUCUGGUGUGCCAGUUGUUCCACCAGGAGCACCGCUGGUUAGCUACGUUCGGAAGGGAUAACCGCUGAAAGCAUCUAAGCGGGAAGCCUGUUCCAAGAUGAGGUUUCUCACCACCUAGCGUGGUUAAGGCCCCCCACAGACCAUGGGGUUGAUAGGCCAGAACUGUAAGCACAGCAAUGUGUUCAGGUGACUGGUACUAAUCGGCCGAGGACUUACC